Gossypium arboreum is the source of this 1071-nucleotide non-coding RNA. Lineage: Eukaryota; Viridiplantae; Streptophyta; Magnoliopsida; Malvales; Malvaceae. The record is from Rfam.
GUUGGUGAGACAAUAGCUUACCAAGGCGAUGAUCAGUAGCUGGUCUGAGAGGAUGAUCAGCCACACUGGGACUGAGACACGGCCCAGAAUCCUACGGGAGGCAGCAAUGGGGAAUUUUCUGCAAUAGGUGAAAGCCUGACGGAGCAAUGCCGUGUGGAGGUAGAAAGCCCAAGGGUCGUGAACUUCUUUUCCCAGAGAAGAAGCAAUGACGGUAUCUGGGGAGUAAGCGUCGGCUAACUCUGUGCCAGCAGCCGUGGUAAUACAAAAGAUGCAAGCGUUAUCUAGAAUGAUUGGGCGUAAAGCAUCUGUAGGUGGCUUUUUAAGUCCGCCAUCAAAUCCCAGGGCUCAACCCUGGACAGGCGGUGGAAACUACCAAGCUGGAGUACAGUAGGAGUAGAGGGAAUUUUCGGUGGAGCGGUGAAAUACGUAGAGAUCAGAAAGAACACCAACGGUAAAAGCACUCUGCUGGGCCGACACUGACACUGAGAGAUGAAAGCUAGGGGAACGAAUGGGAUUAGAUACCCUAGUAGUCCUAGCCGUAAACGAUGGAUACUAGGCACUGUGCGUAUCGACCCAUGCAAUGCUGUAGCUAACGAGUUAAGGAUCUCGCCUGGGGAGUACGUUCGCAAGAAUGAAACUCAAAGGAAUUGACGGAGCCCGCACAAGUGGUGGAGCAUGUGGUUUAAUUCGAUGCAAAGCGAAGAACCUUACCAGGGCUUGACAUGCCGCGAAUCCUCUUGAAAGAGAGAGGUGCCUUCUGGAAUACGGACACAGGUGGUGCAUGGCUGUCUUCAGCUCAUGCUGUAAGGUGUUGGGUUAAGUCCCGAAACGAGCGCAACUGUAACACCCCUUACCCGUUACCGUCGCUGGAACAGGAUACAAGGUAUUACUAGAACAUAACACAUACCAUUAAACAUAACCGAGAUAUAAAUAUGUCAUCCAAUUUGAUAGUGCAUCGUAUAACAUAUGUCUUGAACAAUAUUAGCCAACUUUAAUGGCUUGUACAAAGUAGCUGCUCGAGUACUGUAACUAAUAUUUUAAACCUAGACAAAUAUGACACGUAACAAAAUA